CCGCUUUCUCUCACUGGAGGAUCAUAUUCACACGCCGUUUGAUAGCUUUGCUAUUGGUUGAGUCCAUAGUUUAGUAGGAACAUUUUUUUGUAUCCUCAGCGGAGGGCAGUACUAACGUCGUAUUUCGAGGAAACCACGGAGCCUUUGGGGCAACGAGCUAUAUAGCAGCCAAUGCGGGUGGUAUUCUAGUAUGUAUAUGAGAGAUAGUUAGUCAGCGCUACUGUCUACUUCACGAAUAGGAGCUUAUCUCAAAUGAUGUACCAUCACUAUUCUUAC
Molecule: small RNA, 276 nt
Filed under: Cryptococcus neoformans H99
Lineage: Eukaryota; Fungi; Basidiomycota; Tremellomycetes; Tremellales; Cryptococcaceae
Description: Cryptococcus neoformans var. grubii H99 hypothetical RNA
Source: RNAcentral